CUGGCGUCUUCGGCGUCCGCAUUGUAAUCUCAAGAAGUGUUUUCCGCUUCGGACCAUGCCUAAGUCCCUUGGAAAAGGGCAUCAUAGAGGGUGAUAAUCCCGUACAUGGCAUGGAGCGCCCGAAGCUUUGUGAUACGCUUUCUAAGAGUCGAGUUGUUUGGGAAUGCAGCUCAAAAUGGGUGGUAAAUGCCAUCUAAGGCUAAAUAUUGGGGAGAGACCGAUAGCGAACAAGUACAGUGAUGGAAAGAUGAAAAGAACUUUGAAAAGAGAGUUAAACAGUACGUGAAAUUGCCAAAAGGGAAGGGUAGGAGGUCAGAGAUGCGGCCUGGGAUUCAGCCUUGCUUUUGCUUGGUGUUUUUCCCAGAUUGCAGGCCAACGUCGGUUUUGGGCACUGGAGAAGGGUAGGAGGAACGUGGCACCUCUCGGGGUGUGUUAUAGCCUCCUACUGGAUACAGCGACCGAGACCGAGGACAGCAGCGUACUCGCAAGAGCGGGCCUUCGGGCACCUUUACGCUUAGGGCGUUGGCAUAAUGGCCCUCUACCAC
Molecule: ribosomal RNA, 545 nt
Filed under: Dirkmeia churashimaensis
Lineage: Eukaryota; Fungi; Basidiomycota; Ustilaginomycetes; Ustilaginales; Ustilaginaceae
Description: partial large subunit ribosomal RNA
Rfam family: Eukaryotic large subunit ribosomal RNA
Source: RNAcentral